UACGUAGGGUGCAAGCGUUGUCCGGAAUUAUUGGGCGUAAAGAGCUCGUAGGCGGUCUGUCGCGUCUGCUGUGAAAACUCGGGGCUUAACCCCGGGCCUGCAGUGGGUACGGGCAGACUAGAGUGCGGUAGGGGAGACUGGAAUUCCUGGUGUAGCGGUGAAAUGCGCAGAUAUCAAGAGGAACACCUGAGGUGAAGACGGGUUGCUGGGCUGACACUGACGCUCAGACACGACAGCAUGGGGAGCGAACGGG
Molecule: ribosomal RNA, 253 nt
Filed under: uncultured bacterium
Lineage: Bacteria
Description: partial 16S ribosomal RNA
Rfam family: Bacterial small subunit ribosomal RNA
Source: RNAcentral